AGAUCGCAGGCUGCAACCCGCCUGCGUGAAGUCGGAAUCGCUAGUAAUCGCGGAUCAGCAUGCCGCGGUGAAUACGUUCCCGGGCCUUGUACACACCGCCCGUCACACCAUGAGAGUCGGGAACACCCGAAGUCCGUAGCCUAACCGCAAGGAGGGCGCGGCCGAAGGUGGGUUCGAUAAUUGGGGUGAAGUCGUAACAAGGUAUC
RNAcentral lists this ribosomal RNA (206 nucleotides) under uncultured bacterium. Its description in RNAcentral is "partial 16S ribosomal RNA". It matches the Rfam family "Bacterial small subunit ribosomal RNA", at positions 1295 to 1500 of the family's 1533-position model. The record is from RNAcentral.